UCUGAGGAGUUUCCGGCGUGCAUCAUCGAUCAAGAAGUAAGGAACUAUGGAACCGUGAGAUUCCGUAUGUUAAAAUCCGUUGGUGCAACCACGAUGAUCGGAAAGCCACUUGGGAGCUCGAGAGCGCAAUACGGGAGCAUUACCCUCGUCUCUUUGAAGAGCUGAAUUAAGGUAUGGAUUUACGUUUUAAUUAAGUUAGUUUCGCAGACGAAACUAAUUUUAAGGGGUGGAGAAUGUAACGUAUCGAAACCCGGUAGAGCAUAGU
This 265-nucleotide long non-coding RNA is filed under the name Ananas comosus (pineapple). Its description in RNAcentral is "long non-coding RNA (ACOM_LNC043514)". The record is from RNAcentral. Lineage: Eukaryota; Viridiplantae; Streptophyta; Magnoliopsida; Poales; Bromeliaceae.